Non-coding RNA from Erythranthe guttata (spotted monkey flower), 349 nucleotides. The record is from RefSeq and is a predicted model, not a curated record. NCBI's taxonomy places the organism in Eukaryota, Viridiplantae, Streptophyta, Magnoliopsida, Lamiales, Phrymaceae.
UUGCCUACCCUUCAGAAUAAUACCCGAUCCGAUUUCAGUGAAAUUAGCGAUCUCGCCAAACUUGACUCCGUCUACACCGUAGCGGACAUGGCGACAUUCUCGGAGAUUAAUGAGAACCCUACUGUGGUUUCCACUCCAUAAGGCCAAGGAGGCUGUAGUUGCUUUGCUGAAGGAGCUCUUGAAAUUUUGAGGAAAUAAUAUCAGCAGUAUGCCUAAAGACAGUGAGCUGUAUAAAGCAAAUCUGAGUGAGGCUCGUCGAAAGUACGAGAUGUGAGUAAAAGAAUCCGAAAAUCAAUUUUCUUGAUUGUUCUGAAUCCCGUAUAUAUACUUACUUAUAUCUGAUAUCUAU